GUCGCAGGCCGUGUCGCAGGAGAUGUCGGGCCCGGUGCAGGGCCUCACCGACAUGAGCGACCAAGACCUGCUCUCCUACAUCAACCCCAGCACCUUCGACCAGGUGUAAGCGAGCUCCGCGUUGAGAUAGUGUGUGUUGUUGUUGUGUGGGAGGGCGAGGAGGGCGGGGGGCGCCGCCGCGCCGCGUCAUGCAUUUCUUAGUAAUGUGUUUAAGGGCUCAAAAGCAGUUUUUAUGUGAAUUUUUAAUGGAUGUUACUAUAUCCGCUAGUUGUUAAACGUAUACGUAGAAAAUUAUAAUCUCUAUAUAAAAUAUAUCGGAUAAAUGUGACGAAUGAAUGUGUUUUUUUUUAUUAUUUUACCACAUGUAAUAGAAUGCGUUUUGAUACGGCAAUUAAAUCAUGUGUGUCAGUAUUACAGAGUUAAAAUUAAACGUGUUGCAAAACACUGAUUUAGGAAAAAAUGAUUUUUUAAUUUCAUAAAAUUUAUAAGACAUGAAAAAAUAUCGUAUUUGCCAACCUUCGGUUCCAAUAGUGUUUUGCAACACGCUGUAUACAUAAAAAACAGAAACUUAUGUAUUUUCUAAUAUAAUGUAACUCAUUGUAAGGAACAUUGAGAUGUAUUCUCAUAUCAUUUUUUUCGAAUUCGAAUUUUAAUAUUAUGUACAUAUAUGUAAGCUUUAUAUUUCUAUUAUUGUUAUGUUAUGAAGUUAUGAUACAGUGUGGUGUCGAUCUUACUGAUAUCCUGUUUGUUAUUCUGAUUAAAUUAUCUUUUAUUGUUUAAAAACAAACGUUAAUAAAUAUGAAAUUUGAUUGUAUAAAUUGAGGUGCGAAAAUUUACGAGCAGAAAGUAAGAUUGUCGCCACGCGUUAAUGUCCAUUUGUAAUUAAAAUUUAUACAAAAAUGUAAUCACUUGGCUUUGAGUUUUUUUAGACAUUUUAUUUAGAAACUUGGAUAGUUAUUCAGUAUAUCCGACUCGAAGGACCAAGUGGUUACUGAUCGCCAACACGAUAAUACGGCAUAUAAAAAAUACUAGUAUAAACAAUCAUUUAGUUGUUAUAUAUAAGGACAACAGUACUGAAGUGAUUUUAGAGCAAAGAUUAUAUGCUAUAAUUACAUAGAUUAAAAA
Papilio polytes (common Mormon) is the source of this 1125-nucleotide long non-coding RNA. RefSeq lists it as uncharacterized. NCBI's taxonomy places the organism in Eukaryota, Metazoa, Arthropoda, Insecta, Lepidoptera, Papilionidae. The transcript is spliced from 2 exons. The record is from RefSeq and is a predicted model, not a curated record.